This 72-nucleotide transfer RNA is filed under the name Camelus bactrianus (Bactrian camel). It matches the Rfam family "tRNA". From Rfam's summary of the family: Transfer RNA (tRNA) molecules are approximately 80 nucleotides in length. Their secondary structure includes four short double-helical elements and three loops (D, anti-codon, and T loops). The record is from Rfam by way of RNAcentral. Lineage: Eukaryota; Metazoa; Chordata; Mammalia; Artiodactyla; Camelidae. RNAcentral also lists the same sequence under 2 other names.
GGUGGUAUAGUUCAGUGGUAGAGCAUGUGCUUAGCAUGCACAAGGUCCUGGGUUCAAUUCCCAGUACCUCUG